GCAAAAUAGCUAGCCUAUCAACUAAAAUAAACACCCAAUAUAUAUAUAUAUAUAUAAACUAAACAAAGCAUUCUACCCCCUAAGUACGGGCGACAGAAAAGGAAUAAUGAGCUAUAGAAAAAGUACCGCAAGGGAACGCUGAAAAAGAAAUGAAACAACUCAUAUAAGCAAAAAAAAGCAGAGAUUAAUCCUCGUACCUUUUGCAUCAUGGUUUAGCAAGUAAAAUCAAGCAAAGAGAAUUUUUAGUUUGAUCCCCCGAAACUAGACGAGCUACUCCGCGGCAAUUAAUAGAACUAACCCGUCUCUGUGGCAAAAGAGUGGGAAGACCCCCGAGUAGAGGUGAAAAGCCUACCGAGCCUAGUUAUAGCUGGUUGCUUAAGAAAUGAUUAUUAGUUCAGCCUUAUAUUAUCCCAAAAUCAAAUUUACCACGAAACAAGUGAUAUAUAAGAGUUAAUUAAAGGGGGUACAGCCCCUUUAAGACAGGACACAACCUUACUUAGAAGGACAAGGAUCACACAUACAAAGGAUUUUAUCUCAGUUGGCUUAAAAGCAGCCACCUGUAAAGAAGACGUCAAAGCCCAGAUAAUGUAAUACCCAUAAUAAAGAUUAAGAUUCCCCACCCCCUAAAUAAUAUUAAGCCAUUCUAUGCCCACAUAGAAGAAAUAAUGCUAAAAUUAGUAAUAAGGGGCAAAGGCCCCCUCCUCGCAUAAGUGUAAGUCAGGACGGACUAACCACUGAUUAUCAACGGACCCAAUAAAGAGGGGAAAACAGUAAGUAUAACAAACAAGAAAAGACUGUUACACACACCCGUUAACCCAACACAGGAGUGCAACAAGGAAAGAUCAAAAGGAGAAGAAGGAACUCGGCAAACAUAAACCCCGACUGUUUACCAAAAACAUCGCCUCUUGCUAAAAAGGAAGUAUUAGAGGUCCCACCUGCCCUGUGACUAAAAGUUUAACGGCCGCGGUAUUAUGACCGUGCGAAGGUAGCGUAAUCAUUUGUCUUUUAAAUGAAGACCAGUAUGAAUGGUAUAACGAAGGUUUGACUGUCUCCUUCCCCCGAUCAAUGAAAUUGAUCUGUCCGUGCAGAAGCGGACAUAAAAACAUAAGACGAGAAGACCCUAUGGAGCUUUAGAUACGGGACCACCCACGUAAAACAUCUAAUAAACCCAACAGGAGAAUAAAGAUUAAAACCCAGUGUAUAUAUGGCCUAAUAUCUUCGGUUGGGGCGACCAAGGGGGACAAAAAAGCCCCCAAGAGGAACAGGGCCACAGCCCUAAAUUAAGAGAGACACCUCUAACAAACAUAAAAUAUGACCACAUAUGACCCAGGAUAAUAAACCUGAUCAACGAACCAAGUUACCCUAGGGAUAACAGCGCAAUCUUUUCCCAGAGCCCCUAUCGACGAAAAGGUUUACGACCUCGAUGUUGGAUCAGGACAUCCUAAUGGUGCAGCCGCUAUUAAGGGUUCGUUUGUUCAACGAUUAAUAGUCCUACGUGAUCUGAGUUCAGACCGGAGAAAUCCAGGUCGGUUUCUAUCUAUGAGAUGGUUUUUCCCAGUACGAAAGGAUCGGAAUAAUAAGGCCAAUACUAAAAGUAAGCCCUAUCCCUAACUGCUGAAAACAAAUAAAACAGAAAAUAGGACAUAUAAAAUAACCAAAGAUAAUGGU
This 1668-nucleotide ribosomal RNA is filed under the name Cyema atrum (bobtail snipe eel). RNAcentral describes it as "16S rRNA". It matches the Rfam family "Bacterial large subunit ribosomal RNA". Lineage: Eukaryota; Metazoa; Chordata; Actinopteri; Anguilliformes; Cyematidae. The record is from RNAcentral.